RNAcentral lists this ribosomal RNA (468 nucleotides) under uncultured bacterium. RNAcentral describes it as "partial 16S ribosomal RNA". It matches the Rfam family "Bacterial small subunit ribosomal RNA", at positions 28 to 507 of the family's 1533-position model. The record is from RNAcentral.
GACGAACGCUGGCGGCGUGCUUAACACAUGCAAGUCGAACGGAAAGGCCCUGCUUUUGUGGGGUGCUCGAGUGGCGAACGGGUGAGUAGCACGUGAGUAACCUGCCCUUGACUUUGGGAUAACUUCAGGAAACUGGGGCUAAUACCGGAUAGGAGCUCCUGCUGCAUGGUGGGGGUUGGAAAGUUUCGGCGGUUGGGGAUGGACUCGCGGCUUAUCAGCUUGUUGGUGGGGUAGUGGCUUACCAAGGCUUUGACGGGUAGCCGGCCUGAGAGGGUGACCGGCCACAUUGGGACUGAGAUACGGCCCAGACUCCUACGGGAGGCAGCAGUGGGGAAUAUUGCACAAUGGGCGGAAGCCUGAUGCAGCAACGCCGUGUGCGGGAUGACGGCCUUCGGGUUGUAAACCGCUUUCGCCUGUGACGAAGCGUGAGUGACGGUAAUGGGUAAAGAAGCACCGGCUAACUACGUG